This 433-nucleotide ribosomal RNA is filed under the name uncultured Oscillospiraceae bacterium. RNAcentral's name for it is "bacterial SSU rRNA". It matches the Rfam family "Bacterial small subunit ribosomal RNA", at positions 341 to 792 of the family's 1533-position model. Lineage: Bacteria; Bacillati; Bacillota; Clostridia; Eubacteriales; Oscillospiraceae. The record is from RNAcentral.
ACGGAAGGCAGCAGUGGGGGAUAUUGCACAAUGGGGGAAACCCUGAUGCAGCGACGCCGCGUGAGGGAAGAAGGUUUUCGGAUUGUAAACCUCUGUCCUCAGUGACGAUAAUGACGGUAGCUGAGGAGGAAGCCACGGCUAACUACGUGCCAGCAGCCGCGGUAAUACGUAGGUGGCAAGCGUUGUCCGGAAUUACUGGGUGUAAAGGGAGCGUAGGCGGGAAUACAAGUUGGAUGUCUAAUCUACCGGCUUAACCGGUAUUCGCAUUCAAAACUGUAUUUCUUGAGUGAAGUAGAGGCAGGCGGAAUUCCUAGUGUAGCGGUGAAAUGCGUAGAUAUUAGGAGGAACACCAGUGGCGAAGGCGGCCUGCUGGGCUUUAACUGACGCUGAGGCUCGAAAGCGUGGGUAGCAAACAGGAUUAGAUACCCUGGUA